CUUACAGGCGCUCUACUAUGUACUGAUGCUACCAUUCAGACUAUUCAUCAUUUUAAAACACCACAGUAGCACCAGAAUUUUACAGAUGAGUCAAUCAAAUGCCAUCUCCAGUAAUGUCAGUGGAUUUCAAUGUGGAGUAAGAGGAACUAGAAACAAGAGUGUGGCAUUGGCUUCCAGAAGCAACAGGCUUGUUUGGGCUGAGUGACACACACACAGGACACCUGUUUUCACUACUUUUCCCAGUGUGUUGAGACUUUGGUGGAAGGAUCUGGUUGACAGAGGGAAGGUCUCUAGUGCGGAAUUAAGAGAUGGAGACAAGUUGGUGCCUUGCCAGGGGGAGACUUCACAAUCACUGAGCCAGUCAACGCUGGGAGUGCUGGGGAAAGGUCACCUCUCCAGAACCCUGAGGCCGGCACCUGGAUUUCUACAGCGGCACCCCAUUUCUUUGAGCACCAGAUGUUUACAGAGCACAUUCCAUAUAUCAAGUGUUGUGGUCCCUGACUGUAGGGCCUAGUGCUGUAGGCACAUCCAGACACAAGAGCUGGGCGACUCUGGAGGAUGAAGCUGCCUGUUGUCUGCACGGCCAUUCACUAGGAAGCCUUCUGAGCCUGGGAGGAAAGCCUUGCCCGAGAGGUAGAGGAUGUCUGCAGGGACGUCCACGCCUUUCGGCUCCCCGUGGCACUUAGCACACUGUUGGAUACUACAUAUUUAAAAGAAGGAGUAAAUGACCACCGCGUCUUGGACUGUC
Molecule: long non-coding RNA, 748 nt
Organism: Mesocricetus auratus (golden hamster)
Lineage: Eukaryota; Metazoa; Chordata; Mammalia; Rodentia; Cricetidae
Exons: 3
Source: RefSeq, a predicted model, not a curated record